GACGAACGCUGGCGGCGUGCUUAACACAUGCAAGUCGAACGGAAAGGCCCUGCUUUUGUGGGGUGCUCGAGUGGCGAACGGGUGAGUAACACGUGAGUAACCUGCCCUUGACUUUGGGGUAACUUCAGGAAACUGGGGCUAAUACCGGAUAGGAGCUCCUGCUGCAUGGUGGGGGUUGGAAAGAUUCGGCGGUUGGGGAUGGACUCGCGGCUUAUCAGCGUGUUGGUGGGGUAGUGGCUUACCAAGGCUUUGACGGGUAGCCGGCCUGAGAGGGUGACCGGCCACAUUGGGACUGAGAUACGGCCCAGACUCCUACGGGAGGCAGCAGUGGGGAAUAUUGCACAAUGGGCGGAAGCCUGAUGCAGCAACGCCGCGUGCGGGAUGACGGCCUUCGGGUUGUAAACCGCUUUCGCCUGUGACGAAGCGUGAGUGACGGUAAUGGGGAAAGAAGCACCGGCUAACUACGG
Molecule: ribosomal RNA, 467 nt
Filed under: uncultured bacterium
Lineage: Bacteria
Description: partial 16S ribosomal RNA
Rfam family: Bacterial small subunit ribosomal RNA
Source: RNAcentral